This 858-nucleotide long non-coding RNA is filed under the name Phoenix dactylifera (date palm). Its description in RNAcentral is "long non-coding RNA (PDAC_LNC015332)". Lineage: Eukaryota; Viridiplantae; Streptophyta; Magnoliopsida; Arecales; Arecaceae. The record is from RNAcentral.
UCAACUUCCAUGAGCCCGUGUGCGAUUUUCCAGCAUUCCUUCCGAUCCACCAUCUACCUCUUCCGGAUUAGCAAUCAACCCGUCUGAGUCUAUGAUCCCAGCUCUGUGAUCAAGCUCUUAGCCGUCCGUGAAGCUUCCUUCACGCGUCUCAGCUUCCUUCACGCGUCCGGAGAUCCCGCUGCCAGCCCGGAUGUAUGCUUCGAACGACCACCCAACCUCCCAACGUCCUGAGAUCCCACGCGUUCCAGCUCCAGCUUCGGUUCACAGCGCCUCCCAGCUUCGUGUUCGUGCGAUCGAAUCCCUCAUCCAGCAUCCGAGAUCAAUCCAAGCAUCCAGUUUCUCCUAGAUUCGGCCUCAUCCGCGAAUCCAUCGCGUCCGCGUGCGAACCUAUCCGCGUCCCAGCUUCCGUGAUCUAAGCGCCAGCGUCCCAGCUCAUCAUCCCGCGAGCUUCCCGCAUCCUAGCGUCCAACGCCCUGCGAUCAUUCCGUGCGUAUCAUCCGAAUCUCAUGGCGCCUCUCAGCAUCCCGCAUUCACAGCCUCAUCCAGCCGUCCGCGUCCAGCAUUUUCGCCCGAGGAUGCAUCUCGUCCGGCCAUCUCCACCGCGUGCGAGAAAGGUGGAGGAGCAGGGCUGGUUAUCUUGGCCAUUCGGGGAGAAACGGGGGAGAGUUCAUUCGGAAACAGAGCCUCAUUCUUUCCCAUUCGGCAGGAAAACAGAGGAGCCCUCUGUCAAAAAAAAAAAAGAAAGGGAAACAGGGCCUCCCCUGUUUCCGAAAAAGAAAAAGAAAAAAAUGAAAGGGGGAUUAAUGUUUUCAAUGAGUGGCUGAGUUCUUAGGGAGGGAGAUGGAUGAACCUUUGAUG